UUAAUUUUCUUGGGCGUUAAGCCCCGUCAAAACACCAAAAAAAAAAAAAAAACUUCUCAUAGCGUGAAGAGUGUCUUCCUUGCCUCCAUCGCAAAGUUGGCAGGCCCCAUUGCUUCUAAACAUUCUUGCCUUUCUUUGAUUGGUAAAUAUUCUAUCGUGCAUCAUCUUCCACAUGUGGAUUUUCGCCUUUUGUGGGGUCCUCCAUUGCCAGAGCUUGGUCCAGUUGUUUGUUACUGGGCUUGUCCACUUCGCUAGUGCCCAGAGCCUUGUAUGUUGAAGAGACCGAGAAAUCGCCAUCCUCUGAGUGCUUCCACGCCAGCCUAUUUUCUCCGUUUUCCUCUCGUGGUGGGGGCAGUGCCAGGAUUUUCAGCGCAAUAUCUUUAAUUAAAUAGUCUCUGAUUCCUUCUCCGUCCCAAUUUCCUGUUUCAUUCCUCCAUUCCCAAACUGUACUUUAUAGGUCAGGAUUUUGAUGGUUUGUAUAAUUGAGUAGGUUGUCUACUCCCUGCACUCAGCAAUCUGUCCAGAAUAGAAAAGUAUGUCCAUUUUCGAUCUGCUUCACUACUGAUUCCUUGAAGAUGGGCCAGAGCUUUGUUAAGUCCCUCCACAGGAUUGAAUCUCCUCUCUUUGCUUCUGGAAAAAUGACAUGGUUACUUCCAUUAUAGUAUUCCUGAAUAAGAACACUUGCCCAGAGAGAAUUGGGGUUCUCCCAAAUUUGCCAUAUGAUUUUUAAUAAGAAGGCUUCGUUCAUUUGGCUAAGAUUUCUAAACCCUAGCCCUCCCUCAUGUUUUAGGGAACAGAAGGUCUUCCAAUUGACUGAUUCUGCUGUGUUGCAUGUCAAAGUUGAUACUGGGGCAGAUGACUGCUUGAGCUAGAGUAAUUCUGCCGGCUAGAGAAAAACAUUUGCUUUUCCAGCCUUUUAGUUUUUCUUGCACCACCUUGUAGUUCUCAUUUCCUGAUAUGUUGUUGUUGAGCAUCGCUCCUAGGCAGCUAAAGUUAAUGACACCUCUCCUGAUAUUGUAUGGGCCGAACUUGACAUUUGCCGAGACGACUUAUACAGUAUUUACGAUGUAUGGAGUCAUCGAAUGCCGAUACUUCCAACGGAACACCGAGUAAAAGCUCUUUGCAUACGCCUGAUUCCCCUUACUUCUCUUUUUCUGACCCUUUUCCUCACUGACUAGGGGAUGAAUCUCUAGGUCUAGUAACCGAAAUCCAAGGGGGUGUUCGACAUGGCAGGCUCCAAGCUAAACCCUUCUUCGCUCCUCUACCAUGCAUAGUGUUUGUUUUUACUUUUUAGAGACUGGAAUUGGAAUUAGGAGAUUGGAAUUUAGUAUUAUGUUUGGUGGUGGUCAGGUAUUAGAACUAAAAUUUUAGUAUUGGAAUACAAAAUAAUCUCUUUAGUAACUUUAGAAAGUGAGAAUACAUGGGACUUAAGUUUUUGAGACGAAAAUUAAAAUUUUAAUAUAUUUUUUAAUAACUAA
Arachis ipaensis is the source of this 1478-nucleotide long non-coding RNA. RefSeq lists it as uncharacterized. Lineage: Eukaryota; Viridiplantae; Streptophyta; Magnoliopsida; Fabales; Fabaceae. The record is from RefSeq and is a predicted model, not a curated record.